CAGUCGCCACGGUAAAACGUAGGUGGCAAGCGUUGUCCGGAAUUAUUGGGCGUAAAGGGCUCGCAGGCGGUUUCUUAAGUCUGAUGUGAAAGCCCCCGGCUCAACCGGGGAGGGUCAUUGGAAACUGGGAAACUUGAGUGCAGAAGAGGAGAGUGGAAUUCCACGUGUAGCGGUGAAAUGCGUAGAGAUGUGGAGGAACACCAGUGGCGAAGGCGACUCUCUGGUCUGUAACUGACGCUGAGGAGCGAAAGCGUGGGGAGCGAACAGGAUUAGAUACCCGCGUAGUCCCUGUCUCUUAUAU
This 301-nucleotide ribosomal RNA is filed under the name uncultured bacterium. Its description in RNAcentral is "partial 16S ribosomal RNA". It matches the Rfam family "Bacterial small subunit ribosomal RNA", at positions 509 to 809 of the family's 1533-position model. The record is from RNAcentral.